Molecule: ribosomal RNA, 398 nt
Filed under: uncultured bacterium
Lineage: Bacteria
Description: partial 16S ribosomal RNA
Rfam family: Bacterial small subunit ribosomal RNA
Source: RNAcentral
AAUAUUGCGCAAUGGGGGGAACCCGGACGCAGCAACGCCGCGUGAGUGAAGAAGGUUUUCGGAUCGUAAAGCUCUGUCCUUGGGGACGAAAAGAUGACGGUACCCAAGGAGGAAGCCCCGGCUAACUACGUGCCAGCAGCCGCGGUAAUACGUAGGGGGCGAGCGUUGUCCGGAAUUACUGGGCGUAAAGGGUACGUAGGCGGCUAUAUAAGUCAGGUGUGAAAUACCAGUGCUUAACACUGGAAUUGCAUUUGAAACUGUGUAGCUUGAGUGCAGGAGAGGAAAGUGGAAUUCCUAGUGUAGCGGUGAAAUGCGUAGAGAUUAGGAGGAACACCAGUGGCGAAGGCGACUUUCUGGACUGUAACUGACGCUGCGGUACGAAAGCGUGGGUAGCGAAC